Molecule: unclassified non-coding RNA, 571 nt
Filed under: Hevea brasiliensis (rubber tree)
Lineage: Eukaryota; Viridiplantae; Streptophyta; Magnoliopsida; Malpighiales; Euphorbiaceae
Source: RNAcentral
AUCCAAAGCCACCAGAGCCUCUGACAGUUGAGUCAAGAUCAUCAACUUGCUCCACCUCUGGUGUCACAAUUUUCUGAACAAUAAGCUGAGCUAUCCUAUCACCAGCCUUGACUUCAAAAUCAACUUCAGAGUGGUUGAACAAUACUACCCCAACAGGCCCUCUAUAAUCAGCAUCUAUGACUCCAGCUCCAACAUCUAUAGAAUACUUCCAUGCCAAACCAGAACGAGGUGCAAUACGAGCAUAGGUUCCUUGAGGAACAGCAAUACUGAGAUCUGUGGGUACAAGAGCCUUGCCUCUGGCGGGAACUUUAGUCUCUGCAGCACUUGAUAGAUCAUAACCAGCAGCAAGAGAAGAGGCUCUUGAGGGCAAAACAGCGUUUUCAGAGAGCUUCUUCACUCGGAAAAAGGGGACAUUGCCGUUUUCAGGGUGGUCCAGUUUCUGAACCUUGGGAGAAGGUUCUGUGAUCUCAGGAGAGUUGAUCUGAUUUUCUGCCAUUUUUGGAAGAAGGAAUGUUGAAGACAAGUUUAUGACAGUGUUAGGGUUUGUAGAGUGAGUGGGAGGUUUAUGUAG